Long non-coding RNA from Musa acuminata subsp. malaccensis (wild Malaysian banana), 688 nucleotides. RefSeq lists it as uncharacterized. NCBI's taxonomy places the organism in Eukaryota, Viridiplantae, Streptophyta, Magnoliopsida, Zingiberales, Musaceae. The record is from RefSeq and is a predicted model, not a curated record.
CGACAGGAAACUUUUUCUUUUUGGGUAAGCUUGUUGUAGGGAUGAUAGCCCGUGCAGAACUCAGUAAUUUGAUGUUUGACUGAAUCUUGUUCUUGAAGUGUUGCUGUUAAACAUCUUUGAUAACAGUAAGCCAGGCAAAAGCUGUGUGCAACAGGAGAGUGACCAUGAUGCUGCAUGGUGCAAAAGUAAUGCUAAAGAGAAAUGCCACUGCAGUUUUGAAGAACUUGUAUUAUGGGCUUUCGCUGUCCUUGUAAUAGGUUCUAAGCUUCAGGUUAAAGGAGUUUGCCACGAUCCGGUACUAGCAAAAUAUGGCAGACAUGCUUCCUUUUUCUUGAGCUCCCUUUGUUAGCUGGGUCAGGUAAGCUUUUUCAGGCUUGAUGCAUCUCUUGAAGUAUCUAGAUUGUUGGAAAUUUCCACCAGAUCUUCAACCUUCGAACAUGUGAGUUUGCAUCGAUAUUUUGCUAGAUUUUAUAUAUCCUAAAGAGUGAAACAAAAUUUGGUUGGUGUAUCAAUAUGCAGGUUUGUUUGAAAUUCCAGCUCCCACAAAGAAAUCUAUUGCUGAUAGAAGCAGCAUCUUUCUCCUCUUGUUUUGGAGUCCCUAAUUAUGCCCGUUUAAUGACGAUAUCUAAUUUGAAAUACUACAAUUUGUGUAUUUUACUAUUUGUGUUCCAUCGAUUGAAUUCAGUCA